GUGGCAAUAGCUUAGUGGUAGGGCUCCCGCUUCAUGCGCGGGAAGACCUGGAUUCGAUUCCCGGCUGCUUUC
Molecule: transfer RNA, 72 nt
Filed under: Toxocara canis (dog roundworm)
Lineage: Eukaryota; Metazoa; Nematoda; Chromadorea; Rhabditida; Toxocaridae
Rfam family: tRNA
About the family: Transfer RNA (tRNA) molecules are approximately 80 nucleotides in length. Their secondary structure includes four short double-helical elements and three loops (D, anti-codon, and T loops). Further hydrogen bonds mediate the characteristic L-shaped molecular structure. tRNAs have two regions of fundamental functional importance: the anti-codon, which is responsible for specific mRNA codon recognition, and the 3' end, to which the tRNAs corresponding amino acid is attached (by aminoacyl-tRNA synthetases). tRNAs cope with the degeneracy of the genetic code in two manners: having more than one tRNA (with a specific anti-codon) for a particular amino acid; and 'wobble' base-pairing, i.e. permitting non-standard base-pairing at the 3rd anti-codon position.
Source: Rfam by way of RNAcentral